RNAcentral lists this non-coding RNA (113 nucleotides) under Owenweeksia hongkongensis. Its description in RNAcentral is "SAM-I sequence". It matches the Rfam family "SAM riboswitch aptamer (S box leader)". From Rfam's summary of the family: The SAM riboswitch is found upstream of a number of genes which code for proteins involved in methionine or cysteine biosynthesis in Gram-positive bacteria. RNAcentral also lists the same sequence under 1 other name. Lineage: Bacteria; Pseudomonadati; Bacteroidota; Flavobacteriia; Flavobacteriales; Owenweeksiaceae. The record is from RNAcentral.
GACUUAUCCAGAAAGACUGAGGGAAUGGGCCCUAUGACGUCUUAGCAACCCGGACUGGCCGGGUGCUAAUUCCUACUCCAAUAAAGAUCGCAAGGUCUGGAGAUAGAUAAAGU